GUGGGGAAUAUUGGACAAUGGGCGAAAGCCUGAUCCAGCCAUGCCGCGUGUGUGAAGAAGGUCUUCGGAUUGUAAAGCACUUUAAGUUGGGAGGAAGGGCAGUAAGCUAAUACCUUGCUGUUUUGACGUUACCGACAGAAUAAGCACCGGCUAACUUCGUGCCAGCAGCCGCGGUAAUACGAAGGGUGCAAGCGUUAAUCGGAAUUACUGGGCGUAAAGCGCGCGUAGGUGGUUUUGUAAGUUGGAGGUGAAAUCCCCGGGCUCAACCUGGGAACUGCCUCCAAAACUGCAUGACUAGAGUACGGUAGAGGGUAGUGGAAUUUCCUGUGUAGCGGUGAAAUGCGUAGAUAUAGGAAGGAACACCAGUGGCGAAGGCGACUACCUGGACUGAUACUGACACUGAGGUGCGAAAGCGUGGGGAGCAAACAGGAUUAGAUACCCCUGUAGUCC
This 450-nucleotide ribosomal RNA is filed under the name uncultured bacterium. Its description in RNAcentral is "bacterial SSU rRNA". It matches the Rfam family "Bacterial small subunit ribosomal RNA", at positions 354 to 796 of the family's 1533-position model. The record is from RNAcentral.